GUAGUGGAGCACACAACAUAGAAGCUGGGGAGACUGGUGAACACACUUGCUGUUCCAUAAGGACCCAGUUUGGGCCUUCCCCAUUCACAAAGGUAUCAUACCAGAUAGUUAGUUUGUGGAUGUUGGCUGCCCAGUAAUAAUACAAAAGGUUUGGCAGUGCUUGACCACCAUUGCGUACAUGUUGCUCUAGUGAUAAUUAUAUAAUGUUGUUUAUUCUCUAUAUUUGGUGUGGAGAGACUGGUGUGCAGUCGUGGACCCAUGGCUAAGGAAGGUGACAGAGAAGGGGGGGGAUUAUGUGACUAUUUCGAUAUGGCUUAUCUGAAAGGUUGGUGGAUAAGUAAAGUCAUCCUGUGGACGGAUUGUGUUGAUUUGCUUAUGAAAUAUAAUUAUUUACUAUUACAAACUAGUUGAGAAAAUGGACACUGAUGACUUCGGGAAGGCAGAGGAGUUUGUGCAGCUAAUGCUCAGUCCGAUCUCUCCACAUGUUACCGGGUACCAUGACUGACAUUUAUUCAUUCACCAUGAAUAUGGCCCAUAUGGAUGUCUCUUCAUUUUUCCUUUAUUAAAUUAAGGAUGAUGAGGUCCAGACCUUCCUGGAGGGACGCCACAGUGAUGGACCUGAGAUUCAAGUUCAAAAUGGAUAAAGAUGCCAUCUUGGACAGGUUGAGUGCUGCAGCAGUAGCGAUGAAUACAGCGGUGGCAGAAGAGCUAUCAGAGCAAGAUGGUGUGAUGAUGAAGAAGAAGGGGAGGAAGAAGAAGACUAUACUCUACCCUUAAAGCAACACAACGCCUUGGAGGAACUGUUAGCAGCGGAGAACCUCAAGCUACAAGUCCAGAUCUGCAGAGGUCUGCUUCCAAUCCCUGUAUCAGCUGACCCUGCUCUCUGGUGGUGGCAGAAGAGAGACACACUGCCCCUGUUGUCAGAUCUUGCCCAAACCUGUUAGUGUGUUUAGGCGUCCUCCUUCCCAUCUUCCACAGCCGGAGACACCAUUAGCUCAGAGAGAUCUAGGAUCCUCUCAGAGAAAGCAAAUAUGCUAAUUUUUCUGCAGAACAAUUUUUGAUUUUAUGUGCCAGUUUUACAUUUGAUUCAAGCUUAUUCCCUUUUGAAAAUGAGUGUUGUAAUUUAUUCAAAUGCUACUAGACAUUCAUGCCUAUUUCUCUAAAGAAUAAUUGUUUAUCUUAUCAGUUUUAUAUUUGUUUUCCAAGUAAUGUCCUUUUAAGGAAAGGAGCAUUGUAAUUUGUUUUAACAUGUUCAAAUGUUCAGACUGAAGUUGUGUGUAGUUUCUGGUCUUGCCGUAAUCUACAUUGAGGGCACUGACCUGUAGGCAGUAUUCUGUUUCUGCUUUCAGAGUCAGGGUGCGCUCUGUAGCCUGAAUGUCCUCCUUCUGUUUCUAGAGGGAAGCAGAGACAGUAGAGGGCAGUAAUGGGUUACUGAGGGAACUUGGGGGGUGAACUGGUUCCAACUGAGAAUAAUAAAACAGUUGCGUUGACGCUGAAUACCUGUAUAGGCCUAUUUGUUUCCACACAGAAAAUUGAUCGAGAAU
Thunnus maccoyii (southern bluefin tuna) is the source of this 1544-nucleotide long non-coding RNA. RefSeq lists it as uncharacterized. The transcript has 3 exons. The record is from RefSeq and is a predicted model, not a curated record. Lineage: Eukaryota; Metazoa; Chordata; Actinopteri; Scombriformes; Scombridae.